This 664-nucleotide long non-coding RNA is filed under the name Mus caroli (Ryukyu mouse). RNAcentral describes it as "lncRNA (MGP_CAROLIEiJ_G0003162.1)". The record is from RNAcentral. Lineage: Eukaryota; Metazoa; Chordata; Mammalia; Rodentia; Muridae.
GAGUCCCACAAGCAGCGAGACUGCAGACUGCGGCGCUGGCUGGGGCCACUCCUCCCGCGACACUCCGAAACUGCUCCUCUUUCCCUUGGGAUUUCUAAAGGUUCGGACCCGCUAAGACCCCUCCCUUUAAGUCCAGCCCGGGGAAGGGGAGGCGGAGAGAGCCCUGCGGGAGCAGCGCCGCAGGAAAACCCCGUGUCCCCUGCCCAGCUGGCAGGAGUGGCCCUGGCGGCGCGCGCCCAGCAGCUCCCAGGUGCAAAAACACCGGAGGCGCUUGCUGUUGUACCAUUUGUCUAUCAGUCACUAAUGAAUAUUAUUCUCCCAUUACUAUGUAUAUAAGCUAUGUAUAUGUAUUACUAUGGAUAUUCUGUAUACUGGAGCUGCACUCGUGCACAAGAUAUGGAACAAAUCCAGUAGUUUCCAAGGUCCAAAUCUAAUUAGGAAAUACUACAGAAUCAACUCUGGACUCAGCAUCUCCUUCCUCCUGUCUACAUGGUCACAUACUGGUUUUCAAAGUGCCACCUUUGCUAAUGAAGACGGUUGCUUUGGAAAUACAGAACAAGAGUAGGAGAUGUACCUCAGAGGUGGAGCACUAGCUUGUUAUAUGCAAGGUCUCUCCACUUUGAUCCCUGAUGGUGGAAAAUAAAAUAAAGUGCAAAGAAAAAAU